UGGGGAAUUUUGGACAAUGGGGGAAACCCUGAUCCAGCCAUCCCGCGUGUGCGAUGAAGGCCUUCGGGUUGUAAAGCACUUUUGGCAGGAAAGAAACGUCGCGGGUUAAUACCCCGCGAAACUGACGGUACCUGCAGAAUAAGCACCGGCUAACUACGUGCCAGCAGCCGCGGUAAUACGUAGGGUGCAAGCGUUAAUCGGAAUUACUGGGCGUAAAGCGUGCGCAGGCGGUUCGGAAAGAAAGAUGUGAAAUCCCAGAGCUUAACCUUGGAACUGCAUUUUUAACUACCGGGCUAGAGUGUGUCAGAGGGAGGUGGAAUUCCGCGUGUAGCAGUGAAAUGCGUAGAUAUGCGGAGGAACACCGAUGGCGAAGGCAGCCUCCUGGGAUAACACUGACGCUCAUGCACGAAAGCGUGGGGAGCAAACAGGAUUAGAUACCCUGGUAGUCCACGCCCUAAACGAUGUCAACUAGCUGUUGGGGCCUUCGGGCCUUGGUAGCGCAGCUAACGCGUGAAGUUGACCGCCU
RNAcentral lists this ribosomal RNA (526 nucleotides) under uncultured bacterium. RNAcentral's name for it is "partial 16S ribosomal RNA". It matches the Rfam family "Bacterial small subunit ribosomal RNA", at positions 355 to 874 of the family's 1533-position model. The record is from RNAcentral.